RNAcentral lists this ribosomal RNA (422 nucleotides) under uncultured bacterium. RNAcentral describes it as "partial 16S ribosomal RNA". It matches the Rfam family "Bacterial small subunit ribosomal RNA", at positions 360 to 774 of the family's 1533-position model. The record is from RNAcentral.
AAUUUUGGACAAUGGGGGAAACCCUGAUCCAGCCAACCCGCGUGUUUUAUGAAGGCCUUCGGGUUGUAAAGUACUUUUGGCAGAGAAGAAAAGUUAUCUACUACUACGAGAUACUUCUGACGGUCUCUGCAGAAUAAGCACCGGCUAACUACGUGCCAGCAUCCGCGGUAAUACGUAGGGUGCAAGCGUUAAUCGGAAUUACUGGGCGUAAAGCGUUUGUAGGCGGUUCGGAAAGAAAGAUGUGAAAUCCCAGGGCUCAACCUUGGAACUGCAUUUUUAACUGCCGAGCUAGAGUAUGUCAGAGGGGGGUAGAACUACACGUGUAGCAGUGAAAUGCGUAGAUAUGUGGGGGAAUACCGAUGGCGAAGGCAGCCCCCUGGGAUAAUACUGACGCUCAGACACGAAAGCGUGGGGAGCAAACA